AUAAAUAAUUAUAUUUAAAAAAAUUUAUUAAAAGUUUAUUUUAUAUAUAAAUUUUAGUGUUAAUUUUUUAUUAUUUUAAUAAUAAUAAUAAUAUAAUAUAUAGUAAAUAAAAUUAAAAAUUUAAGAAAUUAAGAUUUAGUAAUACAAGAAUUAAUAACAAAUUUUGUGCCAGCAGUUGCGGUUAUACAAAAAUUAAAUUAAAUUAUUUCAGUUUAUAAAAAAUAAAUUUUUUUUUAAAAUAAAUAUUAAAUUAUUAGGUGAAAUUUUAAUUUAUUUAAAUUUUAUAUAAAAAUUAUGUUUUAACAAAUUUUAUUAUAAACUAGGAUUAGAUACCCUAUUAUUAAAAAUUUAAAUUAUAAUACUAAAAUAGUAAAUAAUUAUUUAUUGAAACUUAAAUAAUAUGGCGGUAUUUUAGUUCAUUUAGAGGAAUCUGUUUAAUAAUUGAUAAUCCACGAAUAAAUUUACUUAAUUUAAAAUUUUAUAUAUCGUUGUUAAAAAAAUAUUUUUUAUAAAAUAUAAUAUUUAAAAAUUAAAAUAAAAAAUUAAUUCAGAUCAAGAUGUAGAUUAUAAUUAAGAAUAUAAUGGAUUACAAUAAAUUUAUUUAAAUGAAUAUAAAAUUGAAAUAUUUUAUUGAAGGUGGAUUUAAAUGUAAUUUUAAUUAGUUUAUUAAAAUGAUUAAAAAUUAAAAUAUGUACAUAUUGCCCGUCACUUUCAUUUAAAAAUUGAAAUAAGUCGUAACAAAGUAGAGGUACUGGAAAGUGUUUCUAGAAAGAU
This 774-nucleotide non-coding RNA is filed under the name Danaus plexippus (monarch butterfly). The record is from RNAcentral. Lineage: Eukaryota; Metazoa; Arthropoda; Insecta; Lepidoptera; Nymphalidae.